GCCCAAGUGGCGGAAUGGUAGACGCAGGGGAUUCAAAAUCCCCCGCCUUCACGGGCGUGAGAGUUCGAAUCUCUCCUUGGGCACCA
This 86-nucleotide transfer RNA is filed under the name Roseovarius sp. Its description in RNAcentral is "tRNA-Leu". It matches the Rfam family "tRNA". From Rfam's summary of the family: Transfer RNA (tRNA) molecules are approximately 80 nucleotides in length. Their secondary structure includes four short double-helical elements and three loops (D, anti-codon, and T loops). Lineage: Bacteria; Pseudomonadati; Pseudomonadota; Alphaproteobacteria; Rhodobacterales; Roseobacteraceae. The record is from RNAcentral. RNAcentral also lists the same sequence under 6 other names.